Molecule: ribosomal RNA, 593 nt
Filed under: uncultured bacterium
Lineage: Bacteria
Description: bacterial SSU rRNA
Rfam family: Bacterial small subunit ribosomal RNA
Source: RNAcentral
CAUGAUUUCCGGAAGAAAGGAUGGCCUCUAUUUAUAAGCUAUCGCCUGAAGAGGGGUUUGCGUCUGAUUAGGCAGUUGGUGAGGUAACGGCCCACCAAACCUACGAUCAGUAGCCGGUCUGAGAGGAUGAACGGCCACACUGGAACUGAGACACGGUCCAGACUCCUACGGGAGGCAGCAGUGGGGAAUCUUCCGCAAUGGACGAAAGUCUGACGGAGCAACGCCGCGUGAGUGAUGACGGCCUUCGGGUUGUAAAGCUCUGUGAUCGGGGACGAAUGGCUGGUAUGCUAAUACCUUAUCAGAGUGACGGUACCCGAAUAGCAAGCCACGGCUAACUACGUGCCAGCAGCCGCGGUAAUACGUAGGUGGCAAGCGUUGUCCGGAAUUAUUGGGCGUAAAGCGCGCGCAGGCGGCUUCUUAAGUCCAUCUUAAAAGUGCGGGGCUUAACCCCGUGAUGGGAUGGAAACUGGGAGGCUGGAGUAUCGGAGAGGAAAGUGGAAUUCCUAGUGUAGCGGUGAAAUGCGUAGAGAUUAGGAAGAACACCGGUGGCGAAGGCGACUUUCUGGACGACAACUGACGCUGAGGCGCGAAAG